UGGCUCAGUGAGGCGUUCGGACUGGCCCAGGGAGGUCGGCAACGACCACCCAGGGCCGGAAAGUUCGUCAAACUUGGUCAUUUAGAGGAAGUAAAAGUCGUAACAAGGUCUCCGUAGGUGAACCUGCGGAGGGAUCAUU
RNAcentral lists this ribosomal RNA (139 nucleotides) under Teratosphaeria molleriana. RNAcentral describes it as "partial 18S ribosomal RNA". It matches the Rfam family "Eukaryotic small subunit ribosomal RNA", at positions 1694 to 1830 of the family's 1831-position model. Lineage: Eukaryota; Fungi; Ascomycota; Dothideomycetes; Mycosphaerellales; Teratosphaeriaceae. The record is from RNAcentral. RNAcentral also lists the same sequence under 4 other names.